RNAcentral lists this ribosomal RNA (274 nucleotides) under uncultured bacterium. RNAcentral describes it as "partial 16S ribosomal RNA". It matches the Rfam family "Bacterial small subunit ribosomal RNA", at positions 523 to 796 of the family's 1533-position model. The record is from RNAcentral.
AUACGGAGGGUGCGAGCGUUACUCGGAGUCACUGGGCGUAAAGCGUCCGUAGGCGGUCGGGUAAGUCGGGUGUGAAAGCCCCGGGCUCAACCUGGGAAGUGCACCCGAUACUGCUCGACUCGAGUGCGGGAGAGGAUGGCGGAAUUCCCGGUGUAGCGGUGAAAUGCGUAGAGAUCGGGAGGAACACCAGUGGCGAAGGCGGCCAUCUGGCCCGCAACUGACGCUGAGGGACGAAAGCGUGGGGAGCGAACCGGAGUAGAAACCCUUGUAGUCC